AAAACAGACCAAGAAGGAACAGAUCAGACUCGUAAUGAUGAGAUCACUUACGCUGAUCCGACUUUCUACAAACAAAAAGCACAGAAACCGGGAGUCAAACAGGAGGAUGAGGUGGUGUAUGCAGACGUUGUCACGA
Sinocyclocheilus grahami is the source of this 136-nucleotide long non-coding RNA. RefSeq lists it as uncharacterized. The record is from RefSeq and is a predicted model, not a curated record. Lineage: Eukaryota; Metazoa; Chordata; Actinopteri; Cypriniformes; Cyprinidae. The transcript has 3 exons.